RNAcentral lists this ribosomal RNA (466 nucleotides) under uncultured ciliate. Its description in RNAcentral is "SSU rRNA". It matches the Rfam family "Eukaryotic small subunit ribosomal RNA". The record is from RNAcentral. Lineage: Eukaryota; Ciliophora.
AUUUGUCUGGUUAAUUCCGAUAACGAACGAGACCUUAACCUGCUAACUAGAUACGAUUAUCUGCAUUUUCGUUAUCUUCUUAGAGGGACUAUGUAAUAUAAAUACAUGGAAGUUUGAGGCAAUAACAGGUCAGUGAUGCCCUUAUAUGUCCUGGGCUGCACGCGUGCUACACUGAUGCAUACAACAAGUGCCUAACCAGACAUGGUAUGGUAAUCUCUAAUAUGCAUCGUGAUGGGGAUAGAUCUUUGCAAUUAUAGAUCUUGAACGAGGAAUUCCUAGUAAGUGCAAGUCAUCAUCUUGCAUUGAUUAUGUCCCUGCCCUUUGUACACACCGCCCGUCGCUCCUACCGAUACCGGGUGAUCCGGUGAACCUUUUGGACUCAUUUGGGAAAGAUAAGUAAACCAUAUCACCUAGAAGAAGGAGAAGUCGUAACAAGGUUUCCGUAGGUGAACCUGCRGAAGGAUCA